RNAcentral lists this ribosomal RNA (574 nucleotides) under Morchella sp. Mel-34. RNAcentral describes it as "eukaryotic LSU rRNA". It matches the Rfam family "Eukaryotic large subunit ribosomal RNA", at positions 63 to 647 of the family's 3401-position model. The record is from RNAcentral. RNAcentral also lists the same sequence under 1 other name. Lineage: Eukaryota; Fungi; Ascomycota; Pezizomycetes; Pezizales; Morchellaceae.
AACCAACAGGGAUUGCCUCAGUAACGGCGAGUGAAGCGGCAAAAGCUCAAAUUUUAAAGCUGACAUCUUCGGUGUCCGCGUUGUAAUUUUGUGAGGCAUCUCCGGGUAGGGCGCUGGCCUAAGUUCCUUGGAACAGGACGUCACAGAGGGUGAGAAUCCCGUGCUUGGCUGGCUGUCCCCGUCCAUGUGAGGUGUCUUCGACGAGUCGAGUUGUUUGGGAAUGCAGCUCAAAAUGGGUGGUAAAUUUCAUCUAAAGCUAAAUAUUGGUGGGAGACCGAUAGCGCACAAGUAGAGUGAUCGAAAGAUGAAAAGCACUUUGAAAAUAGAGUUAAAAAGUACGUGAAAUUGUUGAAAGGGAAGCGCUUGAGACCAGACUUCGGUAAGGGGUGAUCAGCCGUCCUUUUGGGCGGUGCACUUGCCCCCCUCCGGGCCAGCAUCGGUUGAGGCGGCGGGAUAAAGGUCCCGGGAAUGUGGCUCCUUCACGGGAGUGUUAUAGCCCGGGUGAAUGCCGCCAGCUUCGACCGAGGACCGCACCCGCAAGGGUUAGGAUGCUUGGCAUAAUGGUCUUCAGCGA